Molecule: ribosomal RNA, 497 nt
Filed under: uncultured bacterium
Lineage: Bacteria
Description: partial 16S ribosomal RNA
Rfam family: Bacterial small subunit ribosomal RNA
Source: RNAcentral
GAUGAACGCUGGCGGCGUGCCUAAUACAUGCAAGUCGAGCGAACAGGCGAGGAGCUUGCUCCUCUGACGUUAGCGGCGGACGGGUGAGUAACACGUGGAUAACCUACCUAUAAGACUGGGAUAACUUCGGGAAACCGGAGCUAAUACCGGAUAAUAUAUUGAACCGCAUGGUUCAAUAGUGAAAGACGGUUUUGCUUUCACUGAUAGAUGGAUCCGCGCCGCAUUAGCUAGUUGGUAAGGUAACGGCUUACCAAGGCAACGAUGCGUAGCCGACCUGAGAGGGUGAUCGGCCACACUGGAACUGAGACACGGUCCAGACUCCUACGGGAGGCAGCAGUAGGGAAUCUUCCGCAAUGGGCGAAAGCCUGACGGAGCAACGCCGCGUGAGUGAUGAAGGUCUUCGGAUCGUAAAACUCUGUUAUUAGGGAAGAACAAAUGUGUAAGUAACUAUGCACGUCUUGACGGUACCUAAUCAGAAAGCCACGGCUAACUACGUG